RNAcentral lists this ribosomal RNA (1882 nucleotides) under human gut metagenome. RNAcentral's name for it is "bacterial LSU rRNA". It matches the Rfam family "Bacterial large subunit ribosomal RNA", at positions 3 to 1977 of the family's 2925-position model. The record is from RNAcentral.
UCAAGCUAGGAAGAGCGCAAGGGGAAUGCCUUGGCACCAGGAGCCGAAGAAGGACGCGACAAACUGCGAAAAGCCACGGGGAGCCGUAAGUAGGCGCUAUAUCCGUGGAUAUCCGAAUGGAGCAAUCCGGCUGGAGUCAUGUCCAGUCAUCCCGGUCUGAACACAUAGGGCCGGGAGGGGAACCGCCUGAACUGAAACAUCUAAGUAGGGCGAGGAAAAGAAAUCAAGAGAGAUUCCGAAAGUAGUGGCGAGCGAAAUCGGAGGAGGCUAAACCAUAGGUAGAAAUACGUAUGGGGUAAGGACAGCAAGAAGCAAACCGGAGCCUAGAAGAAGGGUAUGGGAAGGCCCGCCAGAGAGAGUGAGAGCCUCGUAUUCGAAAGGCAAAGGGAGUAAGCUGGAUCCGGAGUACCGCGGGACACGAGGAACCCCGUGGGAAGGUGGGGGGACCAUCCUCCAAGCCUAAAUACUACCUGGUGACCGAUAGAGGAAAGUACUGUGAAGGAAAGGUGAAAAGGACCCCGGGAGGGGAGUGAAAGAGAACCUGAAACCUUGUGCUUACAAGCACCGAGAGCCCGUCAAAGGGUGAUCGGGUACCUUUUGUAGAAUGGUCCGGCGAGUGAAUGUAUCUGGCAAGGUUAAGCACUUAAGGUGCGCAGCCGUAGCGAAAGCGAGUCUGAACAGGGCGUAAGAAGUCAGAUGGAUUCGACCCGAAACCGGGUGACCUACCCAUGUCCAGGUUGAAGUGGAGGUAAAACUCCAUGGAGGACCGAACCGACUCCCGUUGAAAUGGUAGCGGAUGAGGUGUGGGUAGCGGAGAAAUUCCAAUCGAACCCGGAGAUAGCUGGUUCUCUCCGAAAUAGCUUUAGGGCUAGCCUCGAAAUAGAUUACCGGAGGUAAAGCACUGAAUAGGCUAGGGGCCGAGAGGUUACUGAACCUUAUCAAACUAAGAAUGCCGGGGAAUCGUUUUUCGGGAGUCAGACAGUGGGAGAUAAGUUUCAUUGUCGAAAGGGAAACAGCCCAGACCCACAGCUAAGGUCCCAAAGUACGGUUAAGUGGAAAAGGAUGUGGAGUUGCCCAGACAACCAGGAUGUUGGCUUAGAAGCAGCCAUACAUUAAAAGAGUGCGUAAUAGCUCACUGGUCGAGUGACUCUGCGCCGAAAAUUCAACGGGGCUAAACCGUACACCGAAGCUUGGGAUGGCGCAAGCGCCAUGGUAGGAGAGCGUUGUGUAAGGGGAGAAGCUGCAGCGGAAGCGGUGGUGGACUUUACACAAGUGAGAAUGCCGGAAUGAGUAGCGAGAAAUAUGUGAGAAUCAUAUUGGCCGAAAGUCUAAGGAUUUUGGAGGAAGGUUCGUCCGCUCCAAGUAAGUCGGGAGCUAAGGCGAGGCCGAAAGGCGUAGUCGAUGCACAUACGGUUGAUAUUCCGUAACCACCAAAGGAUUAAAGCAAAGGGACACCUGAGAAGGGCAUAACCCCGGGGUUGGUAGACCGGGGCGUAAGGGACCGAAAUUAGAGUAGGGAAGUAUGCGUAGAUCAGGGCGAGAAAAGCUUUGUGUAUAUUCGAGGUGCCCGUACCGCAAACCGACACAGGUGGACAGGAAGAGGAUUCUAAGGCCAACGGGAGAAGGGUAGUUAAGGAACUCGGCAAAUUGACCCCGUAACUUAGGGAAAAGGGGUGCUCACCAAGGUGAGCCGCAGAGAAUAGGCCCAGGCGACUGUUUAGCAAAAACACAGGUCUCUGCGAAAUCGAAAGAUGAAGUAUAGGGGCUGACACCUGCCCGGUGCCGGAAGGUUAAGAGGAGGAGUGCAAGCUCUGAAUUGAAGCCCCGGUAAACGGCGGCCGUAACUAUAACGGUCCUAAGGUAGCGAAAUUCCUUGUCGGGU